ACUGGGCGUCGUGGCGGGCGCCUGUAGUCCCAGCUACUUGGGAGGCUGAGGCAGGAGAAUCACUUGAACCCAGGAGGCGGAGGUUGCAGUGAGCCAAGAUUGCGCCACUGCACUCCAGCCUGGGCAACAGAGUGAGAUUCUGUCUCAA
RNAcentral lists this signal recognition particle RNA (148 nucleotides) under Pan paniscus (pygmy chimpanzee). Its description in RNAcentral is "Metazoan signal recognition particle RNA". It matches the Rfam family "Metazoan signal recognition particle RNA". From Rfam's summary of the family: The signal recognition particle (SRP) is a universally conserved ribonucleoprotein. It is involved in the co-translational targeting of proteins to membranes. The eukaryotic SRP consists of a 300-nucleotide 7S RNA and six proteins: SRPs 72, 68, 54, 19, 14, and 9. Lineage: Eukaryota; Metazoa; Chordata; Mammalia; Primates; Hominidae. RNAcentral also lists the same sequence under 1 other name. The record is from Rfam by way of RNAcentral.